CAAGAGCGUAUGUAAAAGUUGUUGCAGUUAAAAAGCUCGUAGUUGAACCUUGGGUUUGGUUGGCCGGUCCGCUUUUUUGCGAGUACUGGAUUCAACCGAGCCUUUCCUUCUGGCUAACCAGUCGUUUCGGCGGCUGGCGAACCAGGAUUUUUACUUUGAGAAAAUUAGAGUGUUCAAAGCAGGCAUUAGCUUGAAUAUAUUAGCAUGGAAUAAUAGAAUAGGACGUUAUGGUUCUAUUUUGUUGGUUUCUAGGACCAUCGUAAUGAUUAAUAGGGACGGUCGGGGGCAUCAGUAUUCAGUUGUCAGAGGUGAAAUUCUUGGAUUUACUGAAGACUAACUACUGCGAAAGCAUUUGCCAAGGACGUUUUCAUUGA
Molecule: ribosomal RNA, 374 nt
Filed under: uncultured eukaryote
Lineage: Eukaryota
Description: partial 18S ribosomal RNA
Rfam family: Eukaryotic small subunit ribosomal RNA
Source: RNAcentral